UGUAUAGAGAGGUCUGGGUACUGAGUUUGCCGGAGUGCUGGUGAGGUCUGGGUACCGAGUGUGGUGGCAUGAUGGUGAGGUCUGGGUACCAAGGGUGGCAGCGUGAUGGUGAGGUCUGGGUACUGAGGGUGGCAGUGUGAUGGUGAGGUCUGGGUACCGAGGGUGGCAGCGUGAUGGUGAGGUCUGGGUACCGAGGGUGGCAGUGUGAUGGUGAGGUCUGAGUAAUGAGGGUGGCAGCGUGAUGGUGAGGUCUGGGUACCGAGGGUGGCAGUGUGAUGGUGAGGUCUGCGUAAUGAGGGUGGCAGUGUGAUGGUGAGGUCUGGGUACUGAGGGUGGCGGCGAGGUCUGGGUACCGAGGGUGGUGGCGUGAUGGAGAGGUCUGGUGGGUACUGAGUGUGGCGUGAUGAUGAUCUUUGGGUAAACUUCUUAUUAUUUUUGCUGCUCCAAUAUUUGGAAAUCUUUUUUUUUUUCUGCCCCAUGCGUAGAAAGUAUUAAUACCACCUGCUGGGCAACGUUACGUUUACACAUUCCUCCGCUGACUGCAGGAGAGCACAACCAACUUACCUAGCUUUGAGAUGAAUGUGCAGGACGGGGCAUCGUCGGAGCAUCUAAAAUAUAACAUUUUGUAA
Molecule: long non-coding RNA, 629 nt
Organism: Spea bombifrons (plains spadefoot toad)
Lineage: Eukaryota; Metazoa; Chordata; Amphibia; Anura; Pelobatidae
Exons: 2
Source: RefSeq, a predicted model, not a curated record